UGCAUUCAGAUGUCCUGUGAGUAAUUUCAGAUGGCUGACAUCCAGAGGGAACUAGGGGACAGGAGAAGAAGAAGCUGGAGCAAGCUCAUGAUCCAGGGGAAGACUUCUCGUUAGGAAGUAAUUCCCAGAUUGAGAUGCAAAUGUUGAGAAGAGUCAACCAGACAGAAGAGGAGAUGAGUGUUCCGGCAGAGGAAGCUGUGUGAGGUGGCUGAAACUUGCAGUCUUCAGGUUGAGAAUUCCUGUCCCUCUGUGUCCAGCAGACAAGUGCUACCUGAAGGCCAUGACGAAUUGAGACAAAAUUCUAACACUGCUACGUUAUUGAGAGAAAGGAUGAGAAGGAGCCCAGAUCUGGAAUCAGCCAUUUUUCUAAGGAGCCCUGCUUUCUUUUAGUAAAUGGCAUUUAGAGAUCAUAUUCUGUGUGCAAGAAAUGCUUGCUUUUGAAUUGAUGAUGGUUUCUAGAAAGAAUUUUUUACAAGCAAAUACUUUAUGGAUUCUUACUAA
This 501-nucleotide long non-coding RNA is filed under the name Homo sapiens (human). RNAcentral describes it as "HSALNT0317335". The record is from RNAcentral. Lineage: Eukaryota; Metazoa; Chordata; Mammalia; Primates; Hominidae.